RNAcentral lists this ribosomal RNA (1364 nucleotides) under uncultured bacterium. RNAcentral describes it as "bacterial SSU rRNA". It matches the Rfam family "Bacterial small subunit ribosomal RNA". The record is from RNAcentral.
AGAGUUUGAUCCUGGCUCAGGAUGAACGCUGGCGGCACGCCUAACACAUGCAAGUCGAACGGAGUUUUGAGAGCUUGCUCUUAAAACUUAGUGGCGGACGGGUGAGUAACACGUGAGCAACCUGCCUUUAAGAGGGGGAUAGCUUCUGGAAACGGAUGGUAAUACCCCAUAACAUAUCGGAUCGGCAUCUUUCUGAUAUCAAAGAUUUAUCGCUUAGAGAUGGGCUCGCGUCUGAUUAGCUUGUUGGUGAGGUAACGGCCCACCAAGGCAACGAUCAGUAGCCGGACUGAGAGGUUGAACGGCCACAUUGGGACUGAGACACGGCCCAGACUCCUACGGGAGGCAGCAGUGGGGAAUAUUGCACAAUGGGCGCAAGCCUGAUGCAGCGAUGCCGCGUGAGGGAAGAAGGUUUUCGGAUUGUAAACCUCUGUCAUCGGGGACGAUAAUGACUGUACCCGAGAAGGAAGCUCCGGCUAACUACGUGCCAGCAGCCGCGGUAAUACGUAGGGAGCGAGCGUUAUCCGGAAUUACUGGGUGUAAAGGGAGUGUAGGCGGGACUGUAAGUCAGAUGUGAAAUAUGCCGGCUCAACUGGCAGACUGCAUUUGAAACUGCGGUUCUUGAGUGAAGUAGAGGUAAGCGGAAUUCCUAGUGUAGCGGUGAAAUGCGUAGAUAUUAGGAGGAACAUCAGUGGCGAAGGCGGCUUACUGGGCUUUAACUGACGCUGAGGCUCGAAAGCGUGGGGAGCAAACAGGAUUAGAUACCCUGGUAGUCCACGCUGUAAACGAUGAUUACUAGGUGUGGGGGGGACUGACCCCUUCCGUGCCGGAGCAAAACGCAAUAAGUAUUUCCACCUGGGGAGUUACGACCGCAAGGUUUGAAAUCAAAGGAAUUGAGGGGAGCCCGCACAAGCAGUGGAGUAUGUGGUUUAAUUGGACGCAACGCGAAGAACCUUACCGGAGCUUGACAUCCUCAGAAUUCGGUUGUAAUGACUGAAGUGCCCUUCGGGGAGCUGAGAGACAGGUGGUGCAUGGUUGUCGUCAGCUCGUGUCGUGAGAUGUUGGGUUAAGUCCCGCAACGAGCGCAACCCUUAUGUUUAGUUGCUACGCAAGAGCACUCUAGACAGACUGCCGUUGACAAAACGGAGGAAGGUGGGGACGACGUCAAAUCAUCAUGCCCCUUACGUUCCGGGCUACACACGUACUACAAUGGCGAGAACAAAGGGAAGCGAUACCGCGAGGUGGAGCGAACCCCAUAAAAAUCGUCCCAGUUCGGACUGCAGGCUGCAACCCGCCUGCACGAAGUUGGAAUUGCUAGUAAUCGCGGAUCAGCAUGCCGCGGUGAAUAAAAUCCCGGGCUUUGCACA